Molecule: long non-coding RNA, 4053 nt
Organism: Meleagris gallopavo (turkey)
Lineage: Eukaryota; Metazoa; Chordata; Aves; Galliformes; Phasianidae
Source: RefSeq, a predicted model, not a curated record
AAAUAAAAAAAAAAAAAAACCACAGACUCCACCCAAUAUAUUUAACUUUGAUCCAAACACACAGAGUGUCACUGACGGCAGGGCACAAUGCCACACGUCCAUAGUUUAUGCUUCCUGAAAAAUCUGAAUAUAAUUGACACGGGAAUUUCACUACUGUCUGACUCUCCAUCACAAAAGUGUUGCUAUUUUUUUGCUAGUUUUGACAUUUUGUGUUAGAAACCCAAAUGGCAAACCUUGGACCACUUGGCUGCCAUGCAGGAGAGCUAGAAACGUGGACGAAGCCAUGGGAACUGUCCUGAUAUUUCUAAAGGCAAACUUUACUUUUGGUUCUUCCAGUCAAAAAUCUUUAUCUCAAAGUGUUUGAAAUUGACACGGAAUUAAGUUCAAGUGAACCAAAAAGCAUGAAUGCCUUGUUUUUUCAAAACCAAAAUUCUGAUUUGAUGAUUAUCUUGACCUGCUUAUGUUUCCCCACCAAGCCAAAAGCUAAGCCAGAUCACCUUCACAAACCUAUUCAGCAAGAAUUAGUAGGAGAAAACAUGACAUGCAUGGAGCAAUAGCAGCUAAAGGCUCACACUAAUGCAGCCCAAGGGCAGAUCAUGUGAAAAGCACCACUAUAUCCCAUCAGAUUAAAGGAACUUAAGAUAUAGGCAUGAAUGUCCUUAUUGCACCCCGAUAGCUGCAGGGCACCAUACAAGAGAUUCAUACAGAGAGGUCAGCUCUAAUUUGUGUUGCAGGUAGCUCAAUACCAUGUUCUUUCCAUUUCCAUACAAUUUUGUAGAAGUCUCAGACCAAAGUACUCUAUUUCCAGACUGAGCCCAAGCAAGGACUUUCUGUAGGACUCCAACUGGUGUACUUCGACCCUAAUAUUCGGACCACAUAUUCUAACCUGAUCUUUAGUUUUGCAUGCCAUGCUGUAAGCAGGUACCUUAAAAAUAAAUCCAGUUCUGGCCACCCAUAGCAUUCAGUGAAUUUGAGCUGGAGAUAGAGAACCUGAUUCUUACCUAAAAAUCAGGAGGUGACACCUUACACUUCCCUAGCAGGGUCAUGUUAACUGAGCUGGCAGAUUUGAUAGAAUUAGAUUUCUCUGUUGAGCUGGUUCAGCACUGUGAUGUGUCAGCACAUCCAGCACUUCAGAUACGUAAGUUUAAGCCCUUGAUUGAAGAUCCAGCUUCCAGAAAUAAUGUUGUGUCCUUUAAAAGGAAUAAUCUUUGUUUUGGUGCAUCAACAGCUAGAAAGUAAUAACUUAAAGAAAUACACCAAUCUUGGAAAAAUUUCAGUAACAAUUUAUUCAGUCCAGAGGCAUUUUAAUCUUGCUUCCAACAUUCAGUUGAAUACUUAAACUUCCCUGUGCUGGUUUUUGCUCUGCAGAAAAACCCUCCAAGGAGAUGGGUAACAAUGUCUCCAGCUCAGAGGAGUUUUAGGGACACCCAAGGUACAUGCAGGUACCUCCAUGGCAGCAGCAGCCCUAUGACAGGCAGCAAAAUAUGGGGACGGUCAUCUUUGGUCCCAGUGGGCUCUCACCACAUCCAUUCCUCCUCAUGUUCUGUACUUCCCAGCAAUGUAUGUUGGACAAACCCAACCAACAUGAGCUUGUUGUAUUUUCCAUUAAGUAUUUCAGUUUGGUACUUAAAAAUCACACUGUGUUCAAGAUGCUGAAAGACAGAUUCCUACAGGUAGACAACUGCACUCUCCCUAUGCUCUGCGGAGAUCAAAUGUGCAGACCCUGAAGCUUGGGACAUGGCUCGCACAGUACACUGGAGCAGAUACCUGCAAGGCUAAAUGACUGUGAAUGAACUGCAAAGGCAUUUAUCCACUUUGGGAUAAAUGGGACCAGAUAUGGGACCAGAUGCAUCACAGCAGAACUUGAGAGGCACACAGGAGCUACCACCUUCCUGGUCACAAAAAUAAUUUGUCUGUAUGUUUCAUUCCCUUGUCCUACACAGAUGUUUUCUGGGGUCUGCUAACAGAAAGUUUCACACUGUGGUACCCAAUUCCACUCUAAUGUAUGAGCUGUCAAUUUGCAUACCUCUGACUUAUCAGCAUCUUCACUGAGCAGAUAACAAACAUUACACAUUCUGAUGCAAUGAAGCAGGACUACAUAAGUCAGACAGGGGCAAAGGAAUCCCUUCUCCUACAUGCACUCCCAUGCUUUAACCUUUACCAGUAAUCUCAGAUUAUAAGCAAAAAGAUAUCGCUGCUUCUCUCUUCCUGAUCAGAUACUUCCCCCAAGAAGGAGUUUGCCCCCUAAGUGAAAACAAGCAGCUUCUGGACGCCCAGCUUACAGUUGUGAUCUAUGCCAACAUCAUCUUUCUGAAAUAAAAAGGAGAAAGGAAAAAAAGUGUGCUGUAAGGGAAGGAGAAGGGCAGGAAGGAAGGAAAUCUGUCACUGAUUUAACUGUCUGCACAGAAAUGUUGCUUCAGAUGAGACACCCACAGCCUUGUGCACCCUUCUGCAAAGUAUAGAAUUGGUAGAACGUACAGAAAAGUAAGCCUGGUGCGAGGAAGGAAAAGUUAAAGCAAGUCUACUCACGGCAUCUGGCCAGCAAACCCAAACAAAAACGUGUGCUUAUCCGGCGUUCCUCAGCUGGCGCCAUAAAAAGCUCCACCAGGUGGUGGGAUUAACAGCAUGUUAAAUUUGCUGUGGAGCCGGAUCUGCUCUUAGAAGCACAUUUCUGCUUCACUACACCUCUGAAAACACUUCUGCAAGGCGUCCUUAAUAAAAAAGAGGAAUUACUGCUAUCAUUUAAUAGCAACAUUUGCAAUGUAUUUGAGAUAAAGGACGCCAUGGUAGCCAAGGGGAUGAAACUUCCAUCUGCAUGACCACGAUUUCCCCUCAAAUUACUCCCAGUUUUCCAGCAACAGAAAAGCAAAUUGAUUAGCUGAAGCAAAGCCUUAAACAAAAUGAUGCUUAGUGUUAAAAGUUACCUUUGCAGUUGCGAUUCUCAUACUAAUAUCAAGUUUGGAAGAAAAACUGCAAUCCAGGCUGCGUUCUCUUCCGGUUGGGAUGUGUGAAAAAUUGAUACAAACAGAGCAACUCACUGUUCCCAUGCACAAGCAAACCAUGCACAAACAGCAAGCCCAAAGAAUAUGGAAUUGGAUUAUUCUCUCUUUUUGCUUUCAGACAAUGCUCUCACGUGCUCCUAGCAGAAAAGUGCAACAAAAGUAUGUCUGACAGAAGCGUACUUGAAAAACCUAGUGGUAGAGAGACCAGAAGCUGCUUGGGUUGGGCUACAGAGUGUGGCUUUGUCACUGCUUAGGAUUUAAACCUGCUGAAAUGUUACUCCCCAGCAGCACCCAAAUGAAGCAAACAGAGUGAGGAAGUGGGAAGGGGAUACAGCAACAAGUUCCCCACGGACCGACAUGGAGGAUCUGCCGUCUCCAGGAUAACCAAGAAAGUGCAAAACAAGAAAACAACUCCCAAACUCUUUUAAUUCACACCCAACCAUUCAUAAGCUUGAAAAUUCAAAUCCAUUCAAAAUCAUCAUGCUCCCAGAAGGGACCUGAAGCACAGCUAAAAGUGGGACAGGUAGCCUGGGGCAAACCCCAGCUUCUAAGACAAGAGCAGCUUUGCCAAAGCAUUACAGCAGGCAGCAUCCCACAGGCUGAUCAAAAGAUCACACGGAACACUAAGCAGGGAUCCAAGUGGAGACCAAGUAGGGAUCCAACUAUUCCAAAGCAAAUACUCUGCACAGAGCCAGCCUCCAGCUAAAGCCAUGUGCCUAACACACAGGCGGAGAGCGCACUUCCAGCUGUCAAGUGGCAGGAAGGCUCCAGUAAGGGGCAAUGCUUCUUUGUGCCUUCUGCCAGCGGAGAGCACCAACGCUCAGGAGCAAUGCAUGAGGAUGGGAUCGAAAUAAAAGGCUAAGAUCCACCACGGCACGCACCAACUGUUGGCUAGAAGAGACACCAAGAGCGCUAUGAACAGCUGACAAACUGCUGACCUCGAAGAUUAGUUAUUUACACUGCGCUGGAAAUUAAUACUGCCGGCGGAGAUGUGUGGGUACCUAAGGUCCGCUUCCUUCCUCUAACGGAGCAAUACCGGCAGAGCGAGGAA